AGCAGUCGCCGCGGGAAAACGAAGGGUGCAAGCGUUAAUCGGAAUUACUGGGCGUAAAGCGUGCGCAGGCGGUUUGUUAAGACAGAUGUGAAAUCCCCGGGCUCAACCUGGGAACUGCAUUUGUGACUGGCAAGCUAGAGUGUGGCAGAGGGGGGUGGAAUUCCGCGUGUAGCAGUGAAAUGCGUAGAUAUGCGGAGGAACACCGAUGGCGAAGGCAGCCCCCUGGGCCAACACUGGCGCUCAUGCACGAAAGCGUGGGGAGCAAACCGGAUUAGAUACCCCCGUAGUCCCUGUCUCUUAUAC
RNAcentral lists this ribosomal RNA (303 nucleotides) under uncultured bacterium. Its description in RNAcentral is "partial 16S ribosomal RNA". It matches the Rfam family "Bacterial small subunit ribosomal RNA", at positions 507 to 807 of the family's 1533-position model. The record is from RNAcentral.